RNAcentral lists this ribosomal RNA (92 nucleotides) under Salvator merianae (Argentine black and white tegu). Lineage: Eukaryota; Metazoa; Chordata; Lepidosauria; Squamata; Teiidae. The record is from RNAcentral.
AAAUCUUGGCUGACCUUGAAAAGUUAAGCAGGAUAGGACCUGAUUAGUAUUUGGAUGGGAAACCACUAGGAAAUCCCAGGGUAUAAGAUAUA